GCAAAUACCUCGCCGGUGAUUCAGCGCCGCGGCCCGGGACGCGGGGAGGGGUCUCGGGAGGCCCCCUCCCCCUUCCCCGAAGCCCCCUCGCGCCCCGCGCUCGGUCCGGCGACGCGCCACCGGCCCCGGGGCUGUUGGGGAGGGGGGGGAAGACUGGACGGAAAUUUUCAAGUCGCGGCCCCUUUAAAUGAUAAUAAAUAAUAAAAGGAAGGGGAACAGCGACGCGGGACGCCCCGCCCCCUGCCUAGGGAAGGUGGGCAAAGUGCGCGCCGCGGCCCCGAGCGCACAGGGCGCCCAGGGCGCGGGCGGGGCUGGGAGCGCCCGCGGGGGAGGGGAGGGGGGCUGGGCCUCCGCCCGGGCGGCCGCGGAAGGGUGGGGGCCUCGAGCCGGGUCGACGACCCCCUCCCCCAUCUCACCGAGCACCUAGGAGGGGCCUGCCGGGCUCGGAGUUUCACCCCUGCCCCUUAGACACGGCGCCCGGCAGCCGAGCCCCGGUUUGCAGCCCCAGGAGGGAGCUGGGAAUUGAUACAGACUUGCUGGCUCCACUGGGGUGGGCGGCAGGCCCAGGUUCCAGCUGCGUCCUGGCUGUGUGAUCUUAGGUUGCCUGUCGCUGGGAGCCAGGGUCCGGGAGAAUGUCAUCCUAACUUCUUUGAAAAUGAGAAGAAAAAAACCACGUCCCUCCCUGCUUGGAAGCCUCCCAUGGCUCCCGUCGCCCACCUACGGGAAAGACCCAACUCAUCUCCGCUGCUGGCAAGCCCUUUCUACUGCUGCCACUUUGCAGCUCCCUGGGUCGUUUGCCACUUAUUGGCCCCGUGGACGACUAGCCAGGGGCUCCAUGUGAGGCGAGGUGUGGGGGGCGGUGGCUACCUGGCACGGGGAACAGUGCCCAGCUGAAAGGACAAGGACAUAAUUGUAGCCUCUCCUGCAGAGCCAUCUCCCAUCGUUCCCUUCACCAGCUGCCCCGACAGUAACUCAGCAGCGUUUUGCAAAACCGGGGCACGGCAUGGCCACCAGGAGGCCCACACUGAGGCCACCCUCCCAUCUGACCCAGAUCUUCUUUUCCUGGGACCUGUGAGCGUGGUUAGCUCUCUGCGACUUUGUCACCUGGCUGCUACCCAGAUGGAACCAGACAUUGUGUCACCCGUGGGUCCUUCAUGCUUGCCGAGAUUCCCGGAGAGCCACGUGGGGUGUUGCGUGUGUCCGUGGCAUGUUCUCGACCUUGUGCUGCUGAGCGGUGCUCCGUGGGAUGCAUGCACCACAGCGGGUUUCACCCCCCACCUGCCAAAGGACGCCUGGGGUGUCCCCAGUUUGGGGCUUUUGAUAAUAAAGCUGCUGCCGAC
This 1340-nucleotide long non-coding RNA is filed under the name Equus asinus (donkey). Its description in RNAcentral is "lncRNA (ENSEASG00005032379.1)". The record is from RNAcentral. Lineage: Eukaryota; Metazoa; Chordata; Mammalia; Perissodactyla; Equidae.